AGAUUGAUCCUAGGAAACCUAUCGGAGGACUGCAAUCUCUCCUCCUCCUCAUCUCUGU
This 58-nucleotide small RNA is filed under the name Sinorhizobium meliloti 2011. Its description in RNAcentral is "putative ncRNA". The record is from RNAcentral. Lineage: Bacteria; Pseudomonadati; Pseudomonadota; Alphaproteobacteria; Hyphomicrobiales; Rhizobiaceae.